GGAUUAGCUAGUUGGNGGGGUAAUGGCUCACCAAGGCGACGAUCCGUAACUGGUCUGAGAGGAUGAUCAGUCACACUGGAACUGAGACACGGUCCAGACUCCUACGGGAGGCAGCAGUGGGGAAUAUUGGACAAUGGGCGAAAGCCUGAUCCAGCCAUGCCGCGUGUGUGAAGAAGGUCUUCGGAUUCUAAUAAAAGGGGUAAGUUGGGAGGAAGGGCAGUAAA
RNAcentral lists this ribosomal RNA (224 nucleotides) under Pseudomonas sp. F2.1. RNAcentral's name for it is "partial 16S ribosomal RNA". It matches the Rfam family "Bacterial small subunit ribosomal RNA", at positions 238 to 459 of the family's 1533-position model. Lineage: Bacteria; Pseudomonadati; Pseudomonadota; Gammaproteobacteria; Pseudomonadales; Pseudomonadaceae. The record is from RNAcentral.